This is a long non-coding RNA of Physeter macrocephalus (sperm whale), 956 nucleotides long. RefSeq lists it as uncharacterized. The record is from RefSeq and is a predicted model, not a curated record. NCBI's taxonomy places the organism in Eukaryota, Metazoa, Chordata, Mammalia, Artiodactyla, Physeteridae. The transcript has 3 exons.
CAGAGACGAGGGACGCUGGGUGCACGCAGCUGUCACACAUAAUGAAGCACUUGCUCACCAUAUAGUCACAAUUCCAAGAGCUGUUUACCAUUUUGGAAAAUCAUGUCACUGGCAGCAGCACAAGCUUGUGCUAUCCAAGUCUCCAGUAUCACUCGCCUGUUUUAGCUGCACUGGAGGUAGCAAAUGUCAAGCACCUGAUCACGUCACUGGCAUCCAGAGACAGGCACCUGCACUGGAAGUAAUUACAAAUUAUGCUGCCUUCGUUCCUCUUUGGAUCUCAGCCCUCACAGGUGAAAAGACAUGGAUGCUUCAUCAGCUUUUCAAAACUUAACGCAAGACUCAGCAUACUUCACAUGGCCAUGUGACACACGACAAGUUAAGCCUCAGUUUCCUUAUCUGUGUAAUGGAGAUAAAAAUAGCCUCUCCCAUAUUGACUUCCUAUGUGGAUUAAAUCAAACAAAUGAGAUAAAGCAUGUUUAGUGCUUCCCUCAGCACCCCUGAGCAUACAGUGCUCAAUAAAUGGAAACAUGAAUUUAUUACUGAGAUAGGCUGGGACCUGGGACCUGGGACCAUUUGCUGCAGUGCUUGCACCCGGACAAAUGUCCCCUGAAGCAACAAAAUACAAAGAAACCAUAAGGGACUAAAAAUAGCUGUGUGCAUGUGCAGUUGGGGCAAAUCAUGGACCAAAAGACCAAAAACCCAACUGCCACUUCUGAAGAGCCAGGAGCAAAAGAAAGGUGUUGGGAGCAAAAGCAGGGCACUGCGCAUGCCCCCUGCACUCAGCACCACCAAAGGGUGGGCAAACCACCUAAGCCACCCCCCCGGCCUGACCCCUGGGCACGCCCCUACCCUCACCCCAUAUAAGGAACCAGCUGGCCUGCCCUCAGGAAGCGAGCAAGUGAGCAAGGGAAACUGUUACUUGUCCUCGCUCCCCCCUGCUGCACCAGGGGCCCCAA